UUUGCAGCCAAUCUUUAUCUGAUAUACAAACUCGAGCCAAAGGCAGUAGUUUGUAUAUCAGAUAAAGAUCGGAUGCAAA
Non-coding RNA from Paramuricea clavata, 79 nucleotides. NCBI's taxonomy places the organism in Eukaryota, Metazoa, Cnidaria, Anthozoa, Malacalcyonacea, Plexauridae. The record is from the annotation of a GenBank genome assembly.